UUGAACUAUGAUACUGCACUAUAUUCGGUCAGACAAUCCGUUAGUGCUCACAAAACGUUCAUAUAUCAAAUGUUCUUCGAUGAGCUUGAAUGGUUGAGUAACAAUUCAGGAACAGAUACGGAACAUACAAGU
Lucilia cuprina (Australian sheep blowfly) is the source of this 132-nucleotide small nucleolar RNA. It matches the Rfam family "Small Cajal body specific RNA 8". From Rfam's summary of the family: scaRNAs are a specific class of small nuclear RNAs which localise to the Cajal bodies and guide the modification of RNA polymerase II transcribed spliceosomal RNAs U1, U2, U4, U5 and U12. U92 belong to the H/ACA box class of guide RNAs as it has the predicted hairpin-hinge-hairpin-tail structure, conserved H/ACA-box motifs and is found associated with GAR1. The record is from Rfam. Lineage: Eukaryota; Metazoa; Arthropoda; Insecta; Diptera; Calliphoridae.